UACGGAGGGUGCAAGCGUUAUCCGGAUUUACUGGGUUUAAAGGGUGCGUAGGCGGGCUUUUAAGUCAGCGGUGAAAGCUUCGGGCUUAACUCGAAAAUUGCCGUUGAUACUAUUAGUCUUGAAUUAAGUUGAGGUGGGCGGAAUAUGUCAUGUAGCGGUGAAAUGCUUAGAUAUGACAUAGAACACCGAUUGCGAAGGCAGCUCGCUAAACUUAUAUUGACGCUGAGGCACGAAAGCGUGGGGAUCAAACAGG
This 253-nucleotide ribosomal RNA is filed under the name uncultured bacterium. RNAcentral describes it as "partial 16S ribosomal RNA". It matches the Rfam family "Bacterial small subunit ribosomal RNA", at positions 524 to 776 of the family's 1533-position model. The record is from RNAcentral.